Molecule: ribosomal RNA, 406 nt
Filed under: uncultured bacterium
Lineage: Bacteria
Description: partial 16S ribosomal RNA
Rfam family: Bacterial small subunit ribosomal RNA
Source: RNAcentral
AUUGAAAGCUGGCGGCAGGCCUAACACAUGCAAGUCGAACGAGUGGCGGACGUGUGAGUAAUGUAUGAGAAACUGCCUGAUAGAGGGGGAAAACUUCUGGAAACGGUAGCUAAUCCCGCAUACAAUCAGAUGCGCCCAGAUGGGAUUAGCUUGUUGGUGGGGGAACGGCUCACCAAGGCGACGAUCCCUAGCUGGUCUGAGAGGAGGACCAGCGAAACUGGAACUGAGACACGGUCCAGACUCCUACGUGAGGCAGCAGUGGGGAAUAUUGCACCAUGGGCGAAAGACGGAUGCAGCCAUUCCGAGUGUAGGAAGAAGGCCUUCGGGUUGUAAAGCACUUUCAGCGGGGAGGCGUUACCCGCAGAAGAAGCACCGGCUAACUCCGUGCCAGCAGCCGCGGUAAUUC